AUAAAAAACCCUGCAAAAAAUCUGCAGGGUCCUUCUAUAUCCUAUGUAAAAGGACAGAAGGCAAAGGGAGAGGAGAAACCGGAGGAAGAACUUAUGGGGAAACGUAAGUCUUCUCCGCGG
The sequence is a regulatory RNA element, 120 nucleotides long. It matches the Rfam family "ylbH leader". Rfam says of the family: This family is a putative regulatory RNA structure that is found upstream of the ylbH gene in B. subtilis and related low GC Gram-positive bacteria. The record is from Rfam.